RNA transcript from Helianthus annuus (common sunflower), 1853 nucleotides. RefSeq lists it as uncharacterized. Lineage: Eukaryota; Viridiplantae; Streptophyta; Magnoliopsida; Asterales; Asteraceae. The transcript is spliced from 7 exons. The record is from RefSeq and is a predicted model, not a curated record.
UAAUCCCUUUAAAAUUUUCGUAUCCCGCUCCUAAUUCCCCCAAUCUCUCUCUCUCUCUCUCUCUCUCUCAAAACCUAAAACUGACUCUGCCAAUUCACGAUGUCAGCCCUAGAUCGACGAAGAUUCACCGAUGAUUCCCCAAUCGUUCCUCCACAUCACCGAAGAUUCACCAAUUGUUCUGCAUAAAACCUAGAUCGACGACUCCUUAAUCGUUCCUCUAACCAAUUUCUGUUAAACUUUUGCUGGUAAUCGAAGUUGUUCUCGAUUUCAUGUCGUUUCACGGAUUUGAGUAUCAUGGCACGUAGUACAGCAGAUGCCGGCAGAUGUCGUGGUUUAGUGGCAGGAGGCGGCAGAGGGCAAGUUGUGCUGGAAGGCGGAACCAAUGUAGAACGAUAUUUGAUAUUGUGAAUGCGAAAACAAACGUCGGUCGCACAACAACAGCAACAACACAGGCGCAGAAUCUGCAGCCUCACAUAGUUGGCAAUCUGAUCAGCGAAUCAGCGAUGCCGGUCCGGCAGGCGGCAAUCUGAUCAGCGGUUCGGCACUCAGCAGGGCUUCAGGCGAUUUGAUAUUGUGGAGUAGGGAAGAUGAAUGGAAAUAAGUGCUUUUGCGCGUCUUAUGGUUGAAACGGGAACACAUAGUCAAGCUGAAUGCGAAUCGGACAGUGAUGGGGACUCUUCGUGGGUUUGACCAGUUCAUGAAUCUAGUCAUCAACAACACAGUGGAAGUCAACGGUGAAGAGAAAAAUGAAAUCUGCAUGGUGGUUAAAUAUGAAGGUUUUCUUGAGGAGAAGUAUGGGAAAGAACGUAAUAAACAUUCAAAAUUUGACAAAGACUUGUGGUCACGAGCUGAGGGCAAGAAUAAAGGAAAAGUGUACGGGUUAGGCAAUGAUAGUGACCCAUGUGUACAUAGCAGAGAAGACCCAUUUUUAUUCCUUUUGGACUAAUAACUUUUGUGCACAUGCUACUAAGUUGUUUCCCACUGUUAUUAUGCUAUAUAUGUUUAUAUAUUCAUACUAAAAAUAUAUUAUUACUUUGAUUUUACAAAAUUUAGCAUAUUACACUAGUACACAAUUGGGCAAAUGAUGCGGAUGACAAAACUAAAAGAUGCGGUUAAAUGGUUAACCCGCAUCUUUUGCCCUGACCCUAAAACUAAAAAGUACAUCUGUUUUCUAAGUUGUUCAUACAGUACUAGGCAUGCUAUAUAUGUUGAUGAAUACGUUUACGGUCGCAUUUACAUGCUACUAAGCUGUUUGAGGUAAAUAUUCUUCAUUUAACAGAAUAAGCAGGUUUCGAUCUCGUCUACUUCGUUAUGUACUAAUUAAUUUUCUUUUCUUUCUCACAUAGACCUAAAUUUUGCAAUGUCUCGGUAGUUUUGUACUAACUUUACUCUGAUUUUUUGGUAAUGAACAGGUUUUCAAUCGGAUUCAGCCGUCGUUAAGCUGUUUUAUCGCUGUUUGGAUUGGAUAUGAUGGGAUCUACUACAACAAAUAUCGGAAAGGGUCGUGGCCAUUAAUAUUUCACUUUGCAUUGGUUUUAUUAGAUCAAAAGGUUGAACGUGAUUAUCCAAGUUACAGUGAAAGAAAAAGAAAGGUUGAACAAUAUUAUUGCAGAAUUGGUGGUGGAAAAAGAGAGAUAAGGCGGAGAAAGAGGCUAUGAAUGAAAGGAUGGCAAACAUUGAAGCGAUGCUAAAAGCUAGGUUUCAAAACGUAUAAUCAUCGACUUAGGUUUCAAAACGUAUAAACACUUUGUUUUGAAUAUGUAUUUUGUUAUGAUAACUUUGGUAUUUGAUGUUUCAAGUGGGAUGUUUUAUAUAAUUGUGAAAAUUUGAUAAUAUGUAAAAUUUAAAAUUGA